RNAcentral lists this non-coding RNA (716 nucleotides) under Klebsiella pneumoniae. RNAcentral's name for it is "partial 23S ribosomal RNA". It matches the Rfam family "Bacterial large subunit ribosomal RNA", at positions 2215 to 2925 of the family's 2925-position model. RNAcentral also lists the same sequence under 1 other name. The record is from RNAcentral. Lineage: Bacteria; Pseudomonadati; Pseudomonadota; Gammaproteobacteria; Enterobacterales; Enterobacteriaceae.
UGAUGUUCUAACGUUGGCCCCUGACCGGGGUUGCGGACAGUGUCUGGUGGGUAGUUUGACUGGGGCGGUCUCCUCCCAAAGCGUAACGGAGGAGCACGAAGGUUAGCUAAUCCUGGUCGGACAUCAGGAGGUUAGUGCAAUGGCAUAAGCUAGCUUGACUGCGAGCGUGACGGCGCGAGCAGGUGCGAAAGCAGGUCAUAGUGAUCCGGUGGUUCUGAAUGGAAGGGCCAUCGCUCAACGGAUAAAAGGUACUCCGGGGAUAACAGGCUGAUACCGCCCAAGAGUUCAUAUCGACGGCGGUGUUUGGCACCUCGAUGUCGGCUCAUCACAUCCUGGGGCUGAAGUAGGUCCCAAGGGUAUGGCUGUUCGCCAUUUAAAGUGGUACGCGAGCUGGGUUUAGAACGUCGUGAGACAGUUCGGUCCCUAUCUGCCGUGGGCGCUGGAGAAUUGAGGGGGGCUGCUCCUAGUACGAGAGGACCGGAGUGGACGCAUCACUGGUGUUCGGGUUGUCAUGCCAAUGGCACUGCCCGGUAGCUAAAUGCGGAAGAGAUAAGUGCUGAAAGCAUCUAAGCACGAAACUUGCCCCGAGAUGAGUUCUCCCUGAGACUUUAAGUCUCCUGAAGGAACGUUGAAGACGACGACGUUGAUAGGCCGGGUGUGUAAGCGCAGCGAUGCGUUGAGCUAACCGGUACUAAUGAACCGUGAGGCUUAACCUU